UACUUAACCUACACAUGCAAGUCUCCGCACCCCUGUGAAAAAGCCCCUAAAUUCUCAUGUGUUUGGGGAGCAGGUAUCAGGCACAACUAAAAGCCCAAGACACCUAGCCUUGCCACACCCACAAGGGUCAUCAGCAGUGACUAAUAUUGAACAUUAACGACAGCUUGAUUCAGUUAAAGUAAACAGAGCCGGCAAAUCAGGUGCCAGCCGCCGCGGUUACACCCCAGGGCUCAAAUUGAUUAACACCGACGUAAAGCGUGAUUAAAGACACAAAAAACUAAGGCUGAGCUCAGAUUAAAGAGUAAAAUACCUAUCUGACUAAGACCCACUAACGAAAGUUGCCUUAUGUAACCCAACUUGAACACACGAAAGCAAGAACACAAACUGGGAUCAGAUACCCCACUAUGCUUGCCAUAAACUUUAACUUACACCACCAAUCGUCUGGGAACUACGAGCAAAGCUUAAAACCCAAAGGACUUGACGGUACCCCAACCCCCCUAGAGGAGCCUGUCCAGUAAUCGACAAUCCCCGUUUAACCUCACCACAACUAGCUUAUCAGCCUGUAUACCUCCGUCGCAAGCCCACCACGUGAGCGAACCAUAGUUGGCCCAAUGGCCGUAACCGCCAAUACGUCAGGUCAAGGUGCAGCAAACGUUGUGGAUGUGAUUGGCUACACUUUUUAACAUAAAAGAUAACGAAAAACAAGAUGAAACCUUGUUGGAAGGUGGAUUUAGCAGUAAAAAGAAAACAUCAAAUUCCUUUUAACUCGGCACUGGGGUGUGUACACACCGCCCGUCACCCUCUUCGAACAAAUAACUUUUAGUAAUAACUCAAUCUAACUUAAAGAAG
Molecule: non-coding RNA, 849 nt
Filed under: Eleutherodactylus marnockii (cliff chirping frog)
Lineage: Eukaryota; Metazoa; Chordata; Amphibia; Anura; Eleutherodactylidae
Description: partial 12S ribosomal RNA
Rfam family: Bacterial small subunit ribosomal RNA
Source: RNAcentral